This 112-nucleotide ribosomal RNA is filed under the name Jaculus jaculus (lesser Egyptian jerboa). The record is from RNAcentral. Lineage: Eukaryota; Metazoa; Chordata; Mammalia; Rodentia; Dipodidae.
GUCUACGACCAUACCACCCUGAAUGCACCUCGUCUCUUGUGAUCUCAAAGCUAAGCAGGGUCGGGCCUGGUUAGUACUUGGAUGGGAGAAAGAAACAUGACAAUUGACAGCA